AGCCGGGCUGGGCUGGGCUCCGCGGCUGGAGCCGGGCUCUACCCAGAGCAAGACCCUGAUGGCUGCGGUGUUUCUGGUAACGCUUUAUGAAUACUCGCCGCUUUUCUACAUCGCGGUGGUCUUUACCUGCUUCAUCGUGACCACCGGCCUGGUAUUGGGAUGGUUUGGUUGGGAUGUUCCAGUAAUUCUGAGAAAUUCAGAAGAGACCCAGUUCAGCACAAGAGUUUUCAAAAAGCAAAUGAGACAAGUCAAGAAUCCUUUUGGCUUAGAGAUCACUAAUCCAUCUUCAGCUUCAAUUACAACUGGCAUAACCUUGACAACAGAUUGCCUUGAAGAUAGCCUCCUUACAUGCUACUGGGGGUGCAGUGUUCAAAAAUUAUAUGAAGCUCUGCAGAAGCAUGUUUAUUACUUCAGAAUAAGCACUCCCCAAGCAUUAGAAGAUGCUCUGUAUAGUGAAUAUCUCUAUCAGGAACAGUAUUUGUAUCCUUUCGUCUGAUAUACCCAUUAGUACUGAAAAUUAGACUUCUUACAGAUAAAGUGUUGCUAACUUAUUGAUCAUUCUUGGUAUGCUAGAAGCAUGUUUAUUGCUUCAGAAUAAGCACUCCUCAAGCAUUAGAAGAUGCUCUGUGGAGUGAAUAUCUCUAUCAGGAACAGUAUUUGUAUCCUUUCAUCUGAUAUACCCAUUAGCACUGAAAAUUAGACUUCUUAUGGAUAAAGUGUUGCUAACUUAUUGAUCAUUUUUGGUAUACUAGAAGCAUGUUUAUUGCUUCAGAAUAAGCACUCCUCAAGCAUUAGAAGAUGCUCUGUGGAGUGAAUAUCUCUAUCAGGAACAGUAUUUUAUUAAAAAGGAUAGCAAAGAAGAAAUAUAUUGCCAGUUACCAAGAGAUACUAAAAUUGAAGACUUUGGUACAGUACCCAGAUCUCGCUAUCCAUUGGUAGCGCUAUUGACCUUAGCUGAUGAGGAUGACCGGGAAAUUUAUGAUAUUAUUUCCAUGGUGUCAGUGAUUCAUAUUCCUGAUAGGACUUAUAAACUAUCCUGCAGAAUAUUGUAUCAAUAUUUACUCUUGGCUCAAGGUCAAUUUCAUGAUCUUAAGCAACUUUUCAUGUCUGCAAAUAAUAAUUUCACUCCCUCCAACAAUUCCUCUUCAGAAGAAAAAAACACAGACAGAAGUUUGUUGGAAAAGGUGGGACUCUCUGAAAGUGAAGUUGAGCCAUCGGAAGAGAACAGCAAGGACUGUGUUGUUUGCCAGAAUGGGACUGUGAACUGGGUACUCUUACCAUGCAGACACACAUGCCUGUGUGAUGGCUGUGUGAAGUAUUUUCAGCAGUGCCCAAUGUGCAGGCAGUUUGUUCAGGAAUCUUUUGCACUUUGCAGUCAAAAAGAGCAAGAUAAAGACAAACCGAAGACUCUUUGAAGACAUCGUAACACUGAAAAGUACACUUUCUACUAAAGAUGCAGAAAUUGAUGAUCUUGGAAUUCAUCAUAACAUGGAAUCUACAGUACUGACGAUCAAUGAAAAUUCUAUUUUAACUUCAUAUUUGUAUGGUACUUGGAUGAUAAAAAUUAAUUAUUCCUUUCUGCUUAGUGAAUGAAUACUGGAAUCCGUCUGUGUUGAUACAUAAAAAUUCAUUCAACUCUUGAAAAGAA
Molecule: small RNA, 1648 nt
Filed under: Pan troglodytes (chimpanzee)
Lineage: Eukaryota; Metazoa; Chordata; Mammalia; Primates; Hominidae
Description: retained intron
Source: RNAcentral